GCCGGCUUAGCUCAUCUGGUAGAGCGGUUCAACUGUAAUGAACAGGUGGGGGGUUCGAGGCCUUCAGCUGGCACCA
This 76-nucleotide transfer RNA is filed under the name Noviherbaspirillum sp. Root189. Its description in RNAcentral is "tRNA-Thr". It matches the Rfam family "tRNA". From Rfam's summary of the family: Transfer RNA (tRNA) molecules are approximately 80 nucleotides in length. Their secondary structure includes four short double-helical elements and three loops (D, anti-codon, and T loops). Lineage: Bacteria; Pseudomonadati; Pseudomonadota; Betaproteobacteria; Burkholderiales; Oxalobacteraceae. The record is from RNAcentral.